This 73-nucleotide transfer RNA is filed under the name Paraburkholderia acidisoli. RNAcentral describes it as "Paraburkholderia sp. DHF22 tRNA-Cys". Lineage: Bacteria; Pseudomonadati; Pseudomonadota; Betaproteobacteria; Burkholderiales; Burkholderiaceae. The record is from RNAcentral.
UGUUCGAUAGCUCGACCUGGAAGAGCGGCCGGCGCAAGCCGGACGGUAGCGGGUUCAAAUCCCGCUCGAACGC